AGAGUUUGAUCAUGGCUCAGAACGAACGCUGGCGGCAGGCUUAACACAUGCAAGUCGAACGCCCCGCAAGGGGAGUGGCAGACGGGUGAGUAACGCGUGGGAACGUGCCCAAAGGUACGGAACAACUCCGGGAAACUGGAGCUAAUACCGUAUGUGCCCGAGAGGGGAAAGAUUUAUCGCCUUUGGAUCGGCCCGCGUCAGAUUAGCUAGUUGGUGGGGUAAAAGCCUACCAAGGCGACGAUCUGUAGCUGUUCUGAGAGGAAGAUCAGCCACACUGGGACUGAGACACGGCCCAGACUCCUACGGGAGGCAGCAGUGGGGAAUCUUGGACAAUGGGCGCAAGCCUGAUCCAGCCAUGCCGCGUGAGUGACGAAGGCCUUAGGGUUGUAAAACUCUUUCGCCGAGGACGAUAAUGACGGUACUCGGAGAAGAAGCUCCGGCUAACUUCGUGCCAGCCGCCGCGGUAAUAC
RNAcentral lists this ribosomal RNA (470 nucleotides) under uncultured bacterium. RNAcentral's name for it is "bacterial SSU rRNA". It matches the Rfam family "Bacterial small subunit ribosomal RNA", at positions 8 to 526 of the family's 1533-position model. The record is from RNAcentral.